This 253-nucleotide ribosomal RNA is filed under the name uncultured Roseomonas sp. Its description in RNAcentral is "partial 16S ribosomal RNA". It matches the Rfam family "Bacterial small subunit ribosomal RNA", at positions 524 to 776 of the family's 1533-position model. The record is from RNAcentral. Lineage: Bacteria; Pseudomonadati; Pseudomonadota; Alphaproteobacteria; Acetobacterales; Roseomonadaceae.
UACGAAGGGGGCUAGCGUUGCUCGGAAUUACUGGGCGUAAAGGGCGCGUAGGCGGCCUUGUCAGUCAGGCGUGAAAUUCCUGGGCUUAACCUGGGGGCUGCGCUUGAUACGGCAGGGCUAGAGGUCAGAAGAGGGUCGUGGAAUUCCCAGUGUAGAGGUGAAAUUCGUAGAUAUUGGGAAGAACACCGGUGGCGAAGGCGGCGACCUGGUCUGAUACUGACGCUGAGGCGCGACAGCGUGGGGAGCAAACAGG